GAGAAACAAGAUGCCCUUGUGGAGAAAACAAAUUAAACUUUCUCCCGGCGGGCUAAGUGCUACUGGGAGGAAGAAAAGCACAUCAUUUUCAGGGGAGCGACUCUCCGCUCACAUCUUGCUCCUGCUUAAAAUAGAAGCAGGAAGUUAAAACUCCAGACGGAUGGGGUGCCAGGGAAGUGAGAGGGAGUUGGAACAUUCCUGUUUUUGCCUAGAGAAGAUGCUCAUAUCACCCAGGAAGGAGAUCUGGGAUGGCACAAUGUGUAUUUAGACAGCAGUUACACAAAGUUGCAAGUCAGGAAGAAAAGCAAGAAUGUAACAAGACAUGGAUUUAAAAGCCUCCUGAUGGAGGCAAAGUUCCAGGUUGAAUAAGAAACAAAUAAUCCAGCGGCUCAGAUUUCAUCUUGGGGAUUUCAACAAUCACAGCCACAAGGAUUUCCCAGUUGCAGGUCCCUCUGAUUGUGCUAUGUGGGACGCCACCUCAGCAUGGCCGGAUGAGUGGCUCCAUGUCUGUGCCCAAGAUCCACGUCAGUGAAACCCGGGGCUGCUGAAGCGGAGUGUGCAAACUUAACCACUAGGCCAUGGGGCCAGGACUGGAAAAUAGUUUAUAAAAAUGACAAAAAAUUGGGGAGGUGGAGAUGGCGGUGUAGGCAGACUCUGAACUCACCUCCUCCCUGAACACAACCAGGUUACAGCUCUUCUUGGAAAAAUUACCCUGGAGAGAAAACAGAAAACUGGAUAAAAAGAACCCCCACAAGAAGGGACAGUCCUGACUGCGGCAGAAAUUUCUUCUGGAGAGAAAAAAGCCACCUUUGUGAGCCACAGAGAUUCAAAGCUGGCCAGGCGGGAGCCACCCUAAGGUUUUUGGGCAGAUCCCUCCACCUGUUAUAUCUUCAACUAGGAAAACCUUCUGAGAAUCAAAAGGGGUCCUGUGUCCUGAUAUCACAGUGACCAAUUUCUUUGAGACGGCUACAAGCUUCCAUAGAAAAGACUGGCUGACUGACUGCCUUCUAGCAAAUUCUAGUAUGGAGUAAGGAGAGAGGAUGCAACCACAUUACUCCGUGGGCUUCCAUUCACCCUCCUGGGGACCCCGUGAGAGAAAGUCGGUGGAUUAAAGGAGAGCUGACAAGCACCUGAGGAAUCAUACCCCAUUUUUCCUGGCGUUUCCACUUCUGAGAGACAGAAAUGGUGACAAAUGGAAAAUCUAAGAACCUCUGAACUCUGCUGUUUCAGGGGGACAGGACGUACCAUUCCGCUCUGUGAAAGCAGACUUUCUGACUGCGUGACAGAAAACUUGGGGGUCAAAUGUGGUUUGUGGAGCAAGACCUUUGAGUAAAUCAAAUGGUUUAUGAGGGAAGUUGUUUUCCUUACUCUCCUUGCUCGCUUUCAAACUCAACUAAGAAAUCCUCAGCAAGGAUCAACAACGAGCUCCCACGAUUAAUUUUUUCCUUUAUUUGGCCUUUCUUUCAGAACAUUUUUUUGUCAGUGUUUUCACAGCAGGCUUUUCCUGGGAUUCUUGUGUUUUUCACUGGCAUCCUUGCUCCCAUUCCCCUUACUCUCCACGGGAGGCCUCCCACAGGACGGGCAGACCUGCCCACCACCUGCUCUGUCAGGAACGAGGGACUCAGUGGUGCCCGUCAAUGAGAGUUCAGCCUUGGAGAGACGAAGGCUGACCAGCAUUUCUCAAGCUCCUCUCGUCAAAGAGCCACGUACCGAGGGAAGCUUUAGUUGGGGGAUGUUUUAAAUGCAGACGACUUCAGAGCACGUCGGAGCUGAGCAUUUGUGCUCCUGAGGCCUGACUUUCAUGGGGGGGCUCGCAGCUGGCUUGGGCACCCGGAAAUUUCAGUUCCUGUGCCAUUGACUUAUUUGCUCAGGGUGACACUACCCUAUCUAGGGUGACCAUAUGGUUUAUCACACAGACCAGGACAUUUUUGAGAAUAAAAGAG
Molecule: long non-coding RNA, 1943 nt
Organism: Equus caballus (horse)
Lineage: Eukaryota; Metazoa; Chordata; Mammalia; Perissodactyla; Equidae
Source: Ensembl